AGUGAACGCUGGCGGUAGGCCUAACACAUGCAAGUCGAACGGCAGCACAGUAAGAGCUUGCUCCUACGGGUGGCGAGUGGCGGACGGGUGAGGAAUACAUCGGAAUCUACUUUUUCGUGGGGGAUAACGUAGGGAAACUUACGCUAAUACCGCAUACGACCUACGGGUGAAAGCAGGGGAUCUUCGGACCUUGCGCGAUUGAAUGAGCCGAUGUCGGAUUAGCUAGUUGGCGGGGUAAAGGCCCACCAAGGCGACGAUCCGUAGCUGGUCUGAGAGGAUGAUCAGCCACACUGGAACUGAGACACUGUCCAGACUCCUACGGGAGGCAGCAGUGGGGAAUAUUGGACAAUGGGCGCAAGCCUGAUCCAGCCAUACCGCGUGGGUGAAGAAGGCCUUCGGGUUGUAAAGCCCUUUUGUUGGGAAAGAAAAGCAGCAGGUUAAUACCCCGAUGUUCUGACGGUAACAAAAGAAUAAGCACCGGCUAACUUCGUG
This 492-nucleotide ribosomal RNA is filed under the name uncultured bacterium. RNAcentral describes it as "partial 16S ribosomal RNA". It matches the Rfam family "Bacterial small subunit ribosomal RNA", at positions 29 to 507 of the family's 1533-position model. The record is from RNAcentral.